AUUGAACGCUGGCGGCAUGCCUUACACAUGCAAGUCGAACGGCAGCGCGGGGCAACCUGGCGGCGAGUGGCGAACGGGUGAGUAAUAUAUCGGAACAUACCCUAGAGUGGGGAUAACGUAGCGAAAGUUACGCUAAUACCGCAUACGCACUAAGGUGGAAAGUGGGGGAUCUUCGGACCUCAUGCUCAUGGAGUGGCCGAUAUCUGAUUAGCUAGUUGGUGAGGUAAAGGCUCACCAAGGCGACGAUCAGUAGCUGGUUUGAGAGAACGACCAGCCACACUGGAACUGAGACACGGUCCAGACUCCUACGGGAGGCAGCAGUGGGGAAUUUUGGACAAUGGGGGCAACCCUGAUCCAGCAAUGCCGCGUGAGUGAAGAAGGCCUUCGGUUGUGAAGCUCUUUUGUUCUAGGGAAGAAACGGUAGAG
This 426-nucleotide ribosomal RNA is filed under the name uncultured bacterium. RNAcentral describes it as "bacterial SSU rRNA". It matches the Rfam family "Bacterial small subunit ribosomal RNA", at positions 30 to 458 of the family's 1533-position model. The record is from RNAcentral.